AUUUGUAUAAUUUAAAUUAGAAUCUUGCGUUGAAGCUGCAAAAGUGGGUUUCCCUACAAAUA
RNAcentral lists this transfer RNA (62 nucleotides) under Cambaroides similis. Its description in RNAcentral is "tRNA-Phe". Lineage: Eukaryota; Metazoa; Arthropoda; Malacostraca; Decapoda; Cambaridae. The record is from RNAcentral.